CGGUGGUCUAGUGGUUAUGGCGCUCGACUGCUGACCCGAAGGUCGCGGGAUCGAAUCCCGGCCGCGGCGGCUGCAUUUUCGAUGGAGGCGAAAAUGUUUGAGGCCCGUGUACUUAGAUUUAGGUGCACGUUAAAGAACCCCAGGUGGUCGAAAUUUCCGGAGCCCCCCACUACGGCGUCUCUCGUAAUCAUAUCAUGGUUUUGGGACGUUAAACCCCAGAUAUUAUUAUUAUUAGAACUUCUACUUAUUCACACUAUGCAGACCGCGGUGUUCUUAUGUGCGCAACGUCAUUACGGACAUUAUACGUACUCCACAGCAUCAACAGAGGUGCUGGUCUUGAAAACGCAAGGUGCGAUGCAAAAGCUGGUGUGACCUCUCUAGCUCCAAUGAGGACGUUGUUUAUGAUCAUUAUGGUGAGGAUUACUUUUGCCUUUGGGUCGCCUCACGUGAAUGCAUAAGGCACCUGAAGUAGAGCACCAAGUCGGGCUAGUUGGUUUAGAUUCAUUCAGACCCUGUGAGUUUUUGCUCGCGAAUCUGCGUGCUAUAUAUAUGUUUGGGACAACCAUCUUGAAAUAGAAUUCAACGCAAAAGUCAUCAGCAUUGCAGCACCGGGCUUCUGUUGACCAAAUGAAAUCUCAAGGCAAUAUUCUUAUUAACCUUGUGUUUGCAUCUUUGUACGUUGUGCCUUGCCUUGUGUUCCUGACAAAUGUAACUCUGCUGUACACUGGACUUCUUAAUUUUUUGUUGAGUACAAUAUGUAUUGUUUGCAUUUGAUGUUUCAAUUGCUAUUCUUACAGUAUUAUAUAGUGAAGUUACACUGCUGCUAUGUAGAAAAACCAAUGCAGUAAAUUGAACCUUGAGCAGGUGCCAGCAUUUCAGCACAGUGGAUAGGUGGGCAGGUUGGUUAUGACUCCUGACACAAAACGGUGCGAAAAAGACUACAGAAUAGAGUAGAAUUUGCAGGACAAUGCAGUUCAAGUUGGUUUUUAUCUUCCAAUUGACCAUUAUGCUUUGGUUAUUAGGACAGUAAUUUAGAAAUAUGUUUUCCUGUAUAAAAUGAGUCAGUUACUAGUAGCAUGCCGCCCUGCGAUUUUUAUUCUGUGUCUUCUUUCUGAAGCCUUUUUGCAUCGCGAGUGGUCAAAUAGUCGGAACGACUAUUAUGCCGUUUUCGCAAACGCAGUUCUCGAACCAUGCAAUACAGGGCUGUUGCCAAGGUGGUACGCGUACGUCUUUUCCCACAGCGAUUGGCCUCUGGAGUGAGGCUUGCCCCUUUUGUGGAUCGAGUAGAGAGCUUGAGUAUUGGUUUGGUGAGCAUGGAAUUCCGUGUCGGGCCACUCUGGGCGACACAAGAAGUUUUGGUGGUGAGCUGUGGCAAUUCACGAGCACGAUAGUUGCGCUUACAUCAAUUGGCACAUGAGUGUUGGCAGGAUUCUGUCUUGGGAGGGGGGACUGCAAACCCGUGUGGCAUCGCAUUGGUGGAGGGUUGGGGAGUACUGAUGAGGCUUAGGGUGGGCUUCUGUUUUGGAUUUCUGCAUGCUGUGGAGCCAUCAUGAUGAGGACUUCAUUGACAGUGUAGGAAAUUAAGUGUCGUCACUCGCACACAGAUUAGUCAGCACUGAUUCUUAAAAACUGUUAUGGACGAUUCCUUUUUCAAUACGCCCUGUUCUUUAAGCUUUUUGUGGCCCUGUCUGCAUAACAAAAGAGGUUUUUUGGCGACUAUACCUUGCAUAGAAAGUCAAAUUUUGAUACGUAAUACAAAAUACGACAAAGUUGUUUGGGCAUGUUGGUAGUAGUAGUAAUCCAUAAGUAUGUUGAAAAAUCAUCUUAUACACAAGCAACAUCAAUAUAAUCUGUGCAAAUUGAUGAGCUGCACUGAAAAAUAUUUUGCGCAAGUGCGACAACGUAUCAGAUUUGAGUAAUCCAUGUUGGCACACCUAAAAAAUUAACUUUUCCUGUUAGUGUGAUAGAAGGCACUCUUUCAAGUGCCUGUGCCUGUUAUGUGCCUUUUCAUGCGUGCCUGGCUCACACUUUUCAAGUAUAUUUAAAGCAAAGUGUAUUUCUUAAUUUACAGGCUUUUACAUCGAGGUUUAGCUAUGUUAGCAUCUCUUUAAAUUGUAUUACAAAGCACAGAGUCAUGCAAGGUAUGUGCAGUGGGGCUUGUCAGCAACAAUAACCCAUUGUCACUCAGUGUAGAUGAGACCUGUACUUCACUGAUGACAGGCACGUAGGCAAGGGGGGGCCCAGGUGGGCCCGCCCCCCCCCCCCCCCCCGAAAUUCGUACAGUCGGCCAUUAAUGCAAGAAUAUAGAGGCACAAGUACAAGUAGUGGCGUGCGCAUUUAAACAAAUGAAAAGCAAACGCUAGACAAGGAAUUCACCAAGAACUGCUACCAAAGAACCUUUAUUUGAAAAGCACGGCAACACUCGCCGAGAAAUUCAAGACCGUCCACCGAAGGAGACAGCCCAAGGCACUGUAUACAAGCUUGGAAAAGGGAACUUUAGUACAGAAUGUGACGGCUUCGACGCCCAUUAACCCGUGUGACCCCACUCGCGCCUCUGCGAACCCCACCACCCUUUGUCCGCUGCCUCGGUCGUCGGGCAGGUGCACGCAUGGCGGAACGAGUAAAGAGGGUAAACAAUUUGUUACGGUUGGGACGCCCACCUGUUGAGUUAGCGAAUAUGCGGCUCUCCAGUUAUAUGCCUAGUGCGUGUCGACGGAAGCGCCAUAGGUGGCGAACUUGCUAAUCACUCUCGGGAAAGUAAGCAGCUGACGACCGCCGUUGUUACGUCGUUGUACGUGUGGUACCGCGUUGUUUGCAUUUCCGUAAGAAAAUAGGCAACGUUCGUCGUAUCUGUGGUGGCCGAAACUUCAAGGGAUGUCUAAUAAUUGCUGUGGGGUGAGGUGCUCGAACACCUACAAAAACUCGCCUGCAACACGGUGAAAACGUCACAGCACCUGCAGACUUGAAUGCCGAGAGAACGCAUGACUGCGAGGACGGUUUGGAAACUGUGAGCUCUUUUUGUCAUAAUGACAUCGGAAUGUUUGUCAAUAAGGCUGAUAUAGCUGAGGACAUCAGAGAACGGGUAUACUCUACCGUAUGGAUGCCACCACCGAGCUACAAGUUUGAAAUCUCGGUCGCCAAGAACGAUAAAAGGCGCACAUUUCAGUUUCACUGGCUGCAGCAAUAUGAGUGGCUUGCAUUUUCUCACGUGCGGAAGGGAGCUUUCUGCAAAACCUGCGUACUUUUUUGUCGUAAGAGCGGAAUGGGUGUAGGCUCUCACCAGUCAUGCAGAAACCUCAUAACAGUUCCGUUUACGAAGUGGAAGGAUGCCAUUGAGACAUUCGAGAAUCAUGCAUGAACUGAAUACCACAAGACUGUAACGGUUGGCGCGGAGUGCUUUCUCGGAGUCGCCAGAGGAAAAUCAAGCAGUGUCCAUGUACAGCUUAGUCAGCAAGCAAAGGGCGAGCUCAAAGACAACAAGGCAAAGUUGCGCGCGAUUGUCGAGAAAGUUGUACUGUGUGGCCGUCAGGACCUCGUGCUGCAAGGUGACAAGGAUUCGGUGCAUCUUUCUCUCGAAGAACCCUUACAGAACGACGGCAAUUUCAGGGCGCUCCUACGUUAUAGAGCGAAUGGAGGAGACACCAUUUUGGCCGAUCACAUAUGCACAGCAGGCAGCAAUGCUCUUUACUCCAGCCCGCACAUUGAAAAUGAAAUUAUUUCGCAUAUACAAGAUAAAAGCUUAUAGUACCAGAUAAAAUUGUCAAACAGGUAAACGAGGCUGGAUUUUUUCGGUGCUGGAAUAUGAAACAACGGAUGUAUCCCAAACCGAGCAAUUCUCGUUGUGCGUACGCUACGUUGAUCCCACUACUUCAAGCAUUCGGGAAGAUUUCCUCUGCUUCGUACCUGUUGACGACAUCAUACGUCUAGCCUAGCUGACACACUGAAAAGGGAGCUGCUGAAUCUUGGCCUGCACUUGAACAUGAUGUGAGGCCAAGGAUAUGAUGGAGCAAUAGCGAUGAGUGGGACAUUCAACAGCGUACAGGCGCUCAUCUGGCACGACUUCCCACUGGCUUUGUACACGCAUUGCUCGUCGCACUCUCUGAACCUUUGUUUGAGCGACGCCUCAUCUGUCCAAAACAUUCGACGGGCCUGUGGCACAAUUAGUGAAGUAUGCACUUUCUUUCGGCUGUCACCCAAAAAGACAGCAGUCCUGAAAAAGCAUCUAAAAGCGUCUACAAAGUCAUUCGGCCGGCUGCGCCGAUAUUGUAAACAAGGUGGGUUUAACGUCAUGAUUCAGUCGCAUUGUUUGGAGAAGCACUUUCCAGGGUAGUUCGCUCACUUGAAGAGUUCAUGGACACCUUCCGUGACAAAGUCACAGCGUCCACCACUUAUUGCCUCCAUCAGCGAAUCUGUUCGCCCAACUUUCUUAUAUGCCUCGCUUUUAGUGAGACAUUCCUAGGCCUUACACACCACUUGACUGUGUAUCUGCAGAGCCCAUCUAUUGACAUGAGCGUCGCCUUGGAGCAGGUUUACUUGGUGCUGACUAAACUAGAAAAGAUGGGAACUAACGCGGAGGCAGAAUUCCGCAAAAUAUUUUCUCUAUGUCAAGAUAGAGCGGCGGAGUUCGGAGUGAAGUGCAAGAUUCCACGGGUGGUAGGAAAACAGAGAUACCGGGCAAACUACGAUUCUAGUUUCGCGGAAGAGUACUACAGGCGAGCCUUGUUCAUUCCGUACAUAGAUGACCUGAAAGCUUCCCUCAAACGGCGCUUUGCAAACCAUCGGAAAACACUUCAAAGUUUGCAAUUUGUGUUGCCAGAGCACGCCUCCAAAGGCAAAUUUGAAUCUGUGCAGCCGUCCUUCGAUUUUUACCUGAGUGAUAUGACAACAGCUCAUAUCCUUACACUAAAAGGUGAAUGGGAAAUCUGGAAAACUAAAUGGCAAGCCAUGCAAGAGGAGGAACUUCCCCGCUUUGCGACGGACGCUUUAGCUGAAUGCGACAAAGCCCUCUUCCCGAACGUUCACACACACCUCAAGAUACUGGCAACGCUCCCAGUGAGUACAGCUGCUGCAGAACGCAGCUUUUCGACACUUAAAAGAGUGAAAACAUAUUUGAGGAAUCGGACGGCUGAAGAGCGGCUUAAUGGCCUGGCCCUAAUGUCCAUUCAUCAGAUGCAAGUCAGUGUCGACGAAGUUAUCGCUGUGUUUAUGGAGAAACCGCGACACAUGAAAAUUGCAGCGUGAACCACUUUCUUCGGCCAGGCUUCGUGUUCGUUUUUUUUUCUUUUGCAUUGACAUUUACAACAUGGCAAAACCAUUCGCAAUGCCAUUCUUUAAAAUUGCUUGCUAAAAUGAAUGUUAGCUUUCUGCAUCUCUUGUGUCAUGAAAGCAUCCGUGUUUUGGUUCUUUGUUGUCCAAUAAAGUUGUUUUCCUGAAUGUGUCUGUUCGUUGUUUAAGAAUUGGUGUCAUAAAAUGACUCAUGCUCUUCUCACAGGCCUGCUGUUACAACAGAGGUGUGAGAAGUUCGGUAGAGAGAAUGUCCAACAUUUUAUUAUUUUUUUUGUCGCGCAUACGUAAGUGGGCGCCCGAUUCCCUUGCAUUACGCCAUUCCCUUUUUUUUUCUUCUUUUUGUGAUUCCUUUUUCCGUCUCUGACUCUGAAUGGCCCUUCUUGGUCGAGAUUAUUUGGUUGGAAAGCAUUCUUUCUGGUGCACACGCACUAGCUUUAAUGCAGUGUCAAAAACUUGCUUUCCAUCGUGGAUUAACUCGCCUCUUGUGCUGCAUUCCACUCUCUUCUCAUUUUCUUCUAAUAAUUAAGCGCCUUCUAUAUUUCCGGGCAACUUUCUUUCUUUUUACCACGGAAAAACUUUCUUUCGAACAAUUAGGCCUUGGGCCCCUCCGAAAAAAAAUCCUGGCUACGUGCCUGCUUGAUGAUGUAUGUUUAUUGCAGAUCCUGAAGGUAUAGUCAUUAUGGUGGUCAAGUUAAGGGGCAGCUGCCAAUGAUAGGGAUAUGGCAGCCUUUGUGUUAUGCAUUUCAGACAUUAGAAGAAAGUUAUUUUGGCUGCCACUUCCUCAGAUUAGCAGAGGUCACGAGCCUGUGGGAAAAUGUCCCCUGCCAAAGUGCCGUGGGUGCACACCCUGGGAGGCAGAGAAGGGAUAGCUGCCUCACCUUGCUUCUACCAGCAAGGCUUCUUUAUAUGCCCUUCA
This is a long non-coding RNA of Rhipicephalus sanguineus (brown dog tick), 6202 nucleotides long. RefSeq lists it as uncharacterized. The transcript has 3 exons. Lineage: Eukaryota; Metazoa; Arthropoda; Arachnida; Ixodida; Ixodidae. The record is from RefSeq and is a predicted model, not a curated record.